GCCCACACUCAGACCGCAUGGGGCCUAGCAAAAUGGCGGCUGCCGACCACGCUACUGGACCAGCCCUUCCACAGACGCCUGGGAGAAGCUGGAGCAGCGCACAGCCCCUUACUCAUGACAGGGUGGUGGAGCCAGCAUAGGUCGUGUGCCGGAACUGGCUAAUCCUCCAGGAGAUCCCCUCCAGGACAUCAACUACAUCGCAGGAAGGCCAUCUGCCACUGGCGGAUUACGACCACCAGGACCUUCCACAGCGCUCACAACGGGAGAGAACCGGCCCCGCAGAUAGUCUGUGACCAAAGGAUGUCGACCUCACACAGAGCUUGGAGCUGGGGAAAAGCCCCCACCACACGCAACCCUUCUUCGCCCCCUCAAAAUCCAUGGAUGCCUGCUCUUACUAUGCCCAGCAGAGGAAUCUGCUGAUACAGGGUCCCAAGAAACUUGGUUUGCAGGGAUGACAUACAGACUGAGCCACUAAAGCUGACUUGAACUCUACCAUUAUUUCAUUGCACUUAUGUAGACCAUUUCUUGCUCAGCCUCCUGGAGACACACUGCUCACAAUCUGCCCUGUCGGUAAACUAGCACCACAACCAUAACCCCCACAAGUUAAUCUAUGUAGGCUGAACAUGGC
Pelobates cultripes (western spadefoot toad) is the source of this 628-nucleotide non-coding RNA. The record is from the annotation of a GenBank genome assembly. Lineage: Eukaryota; Metazoa; Chordata; Amphibia; Anura; Pelobatidae.